GUGAAAAUCUUCCCAAAUUUGGGCUAGGUAGAAGCCUUUGGAAAACAAGACCAUAUGUUAAGACGCAUGUAGGAACUUCGGCGACUUGGUGGUGAUAAUUUUGUCCUCGGGGAGCCCCCUUGCCCUUUCCUGUGUCAGUGCCUGGACCUGGGGUCUCCACCCCGACACUUCCAGCCCCGGGGUCCCCACAGAGUCAGGGUAGAGCCCACAGACCCACCUCUGCUCAUGGGGAUUGCUCUCAGGAAAAAGCUCUGUACGAGCCGCAUGCAUUCACCUUGGGUAUGCGAGCAUGGAAGCGAAAUAACCCAAGUUACACGUUUUUGCCACGCACACAGCUGUGGGGAGGGAAGGUCUCGUUCCCAAGAUCUGCCUGCAUAACCACGAUGAGGAAGAGGAUGUUUUGCUUCACAGUAGCUUACUCAUUUGCCUACAGUUUAAUUAAGCCCCUGAGAAGUCGUUGGCUGACACUGCUUUCUGGCCGGACAGGCUGCGGAACUUGUAUGGCUCCCCCGGCACCUGGAGUGUGUGGCAUCCUUUAG
This 539-nucleotide long non-coding RNA is filed under the name Anas platyrhynchos platyrhynchos (common mallard). RNAcentral's name for it is "lncRNA (ENSAPLG00000023026.1)". Lineage: Eukaryota; Metazoa; Chordata; Aves; Anseriformes; Anatidae. The record is from RNAcentral.